AUGCAGAAAGAUGAUCUUUGGACAACGCUUAAGGAAAAUUUCACCCUAUCGUUAGAGGAGGAUCCGGAGAAGCGAGUUAAAGAGCAAUUGAUCAAGUCUCAUGCUCUUAAGAAGAUGGCAGAACUAUUCAGGAGGUGGAAGAAUGAGCUGAAAACAGAGUUCGUCGACAAAGAAAAGACACCAGAAUUCACCGGAAAGUAUGAGAAGAUCAAAGAUCACUUGCCCGCAUUUGUGGCCCACAAGACAUCGGAAAAGAGUAAGAAGAUGUCAGCGACAAACAAGAAAAAUGCUGCGAAGAAGAAGCAUCAGCAUCGCAUGAGGUCAGGUGGCUACCUCAAAGCCUGA
RNAcentral lists this ribosomal RNA (345 nucleotides) under Triticum aestivum (bread wheat). Its description in RNAcentral is "partial small subunit ribosomal RNA". Lineage: Eukaryota; Viridiplantae; Streptophyta; Magnoliopsida; Poales; Poaceae. The record is from RNAcentral.